AUGAAUCACAUAUGUGAAGUUAAACACAACUCAAGAAGGACCCUUGGGCCAAAUCAAAGUGGAAGUCCUCCAAACGAAUAUUUUUAAGAAAACGUUUUCGGGUGACCUGACUUUGGGGGGCAAAAACGGUAUUAUAUGUUUGGAAUUUGGAAAAAUACCAAGAAUUAGAAGUUGUAGAUAAUUGAAUUAUCUUUCCAACCAUAGGUCGUGGGUUCCCAGGUGACGUCGGUACAAGGAGAUAUGGACGUUUUAAGGUCGAAAGGUCAGUGGGCUAGGCCCAACUCGGGACCAACCGAGUUGGCCCAAAAAAAUGAAAAGAAAAAUUUAGGCCCAAGGUGAGAGGGUGGCCGGCCAUACCUGGUCCAAGCCCACCAAAUUAAUUAAUUUCCAUGUGGCAAAUUAAUUAUAAAGGGAUCAUUAUCCCUUAGAUGAUUCAAGAAACUUAGAAGGAGAAAGAACAAACAAAACAAGAGCAAAAAAAAGGGCCAUUUCGGGUUUGGCCAUAGAAAAUUCACCCCUCCAAAUCUUCCUCCAAAAAUUAUUUUCUUGUGGUAUUCCUACUAAUUUAAGGGUCCUUUACAACUUGGUGUAAUUGUUUUGGAAGAAGGAGCACUUAUUUCUUCAAGUUGACAACUUGUUCAAGUGAAGGAGUUGUAGAAAAAGAUUUUGGGCGAAACGGGAAUUGAAUUUGGAAAGGCGUAAAGAGCAUAUAAGGUACAAACGACAGGUUUGCUGAUCCGCCCGCGUAGGACUUUAUUCUGCUAUUUUGGAGCGCUCUUUUAUCCGGAGCCCAUAUUUUGGUACAGUCUUCUGCUAUCGUAUAUAUGUACAUUAUUCAGGGGUACGACGGGGCCCUGUCCCGUCUUAUGAUUCUGUUAUGUUCUGUAGAGGUCUGUAGACAUACUUGUGUGGGUUCUGUAUAUGUUUUUGGGUUACUAUGAUCUGUGAUGGCCUUAUCGGCUUCCACGUGCUAUAUCUGUUCACCUGCAAUAUCUGGUAGCGCCAAUUAACUUUUAUAUUAAUAUAUUCUGCAAAUAUGCUCA
Molecule: long non-coding RNA, 1043 nt
Organism: Lycium barbarum (goji berry)
Lineage: Eukaryota; Viridiplantae; Streptophyta; Magnoliopsida; Solanales; Solanaceae
Exons: 3
Source: RefSeq, a predicted model, not a curated record